UUAGCUCAGUUGGUAGAGCAGUUGGCUUUUAACCAAUUUGUCGAAGGUUCAAAUCCUUCA
This 60-nucleotide transfer RNA is filed under the name uncultured Colwellia sp. It matches the Rfam family "tRNA", at positions 7 to 64 of the family's 71-position model. From Rfam's summary of the family: Transfer RNA (tRNA) molecules are approximately 80 nucleotides in length. Their secondary structure includes four short double-helical elements and three loops (D, anti-codon, and T loops). The record is from RNAcentral. Lineage: Bacteria; Pseudomonadati; Pseudomonadota; Gammaproteobacteria; Alteromonadales; Colwelliaceae.